This 661-nucleotide ribosomal RNA is filed under the name Enterobacter hormaechei. RNAcentral's name for it is "bacterial SSU rRNA". It matches the Rfam family "Bacterial small subunit ribosomal RNA", at positions 872 to 1533 of the family's 1533-position model. The record is from RNAcentral. Lineage: Bacteria; Pseudomonadati; Pseudomonadota; Gammaproteobacteria; Enterobacterales; Enterobacteriaceae.
CCUGGGGAGUACGGCCGCAAGGUUAAAACUCAAAUGAAUUGACGGGGGCCCGCACAAGCGGUGGAGCAUGUGGUUUAAUUCGAUGCAACGCGAAGAACCUUACCUACUCUUGACAUCCAGAGAACUUUCCAGAGAUGGAUUGGUGCCUUCGGGAACUCUGAGACAGGUGCUGCAUGGCUGUCGUCAGCUCGUGUUGUGAAAUGUUGGGUUAAGUCCCGCAACGAGCGCAACCCUUAUCCUUUGUUGCCAGCGGUUCGGCCGGGAACUCAAAGGAGACUGCCAGUGAUAAACUGGAGGAAGGUGGGGAUGACGUCAAGUCAUCAUGGCCCUUACGAGUAGGGCUACACACGUGCUACAAUGGCGCAUACAAAGAGAAGCGACCUCGCGAGAGCAAGCGGACCUCAUAAAGUGCGUCGUAGUCCGGAUUGGAGUCUGCAACUCGACUCCAUGAAGUCGGAAUCGCUAGUAAUCGUGGAUCAGAAUGCCACGGUGAAUACGUUCCCGGGCCUUGUACACACCGCCCGUCACACCAUGGGAGUGGGUUGCAAAAGAAGUAGGUAGCUUAACCUUCGGGAGGGCGCUUACCACUUUGUGAUUCAUGACUGGGGUGAAGUCGUAACAAGGUAACCGUAGGGGAACCUGCGGUUGGAUCACCUCCUUA